GUUGCUCUAAGUGAGGCCUAGUCCUCCCUCAAAUCCUUCCUAUCGCUACAUAAAUGCUGUGAUUAGAAGCAGGCUUCCCUUUCCUUUAGUCUCCAGAUCUUGUUGAUUCAUGGGACAUGGCGGGUGCUGGGAAGAAAUAUAUGGCAGCCUCUUACCAUCUCCAGGAAGUAUCUAGUUGGUGAAGUUUGAAGCGUACUCUGGGAAGAGCAGAAGCAGCUUGAGGAGCUUAAUCUCAUAGGAAAGAAGAGGGAUGAACAACUCUGGGUUACACAUCCAAGCAUCCUCCUCCUUUAGAAGACAAUUAAGCAGCAAAACAGAAACUCCUAUGGACCCGUUUUGUUUUCCUAAAAGAGUCAUUAUAGGUGCUUGGAAUUGCAAAUUAAUCAAGUCCUGAGUCUAGGUCCCUAGACACAGGAAGUCUAGACUUUUAUUCUCUUCCUCAAAUGUUAUUUUGUUCAUUAAAUAGACUCUAUCAGCCAUGUGCACAGUUGUAAACAAAAAGUCUCUGUUGAUUGCCCCCACCCACCCAUCCAAAAUUUGCUCUUUAAGUAUUCUGGAGCUCUGGAAUCUUUGUUAAAAUGCCCCCAAGUGGCCAUCUAUAGAUAGAUAUGCGAUUGUGACUUAUUCCUGUAAAAAACAAAUUAUCAUUAUUUGGACAAUAAUGAUCUGAAACAUUAUUUCUCACCCCCUCUAGGGGGGCAAAGUGAACAGUAUUCUCUUGCAAAUCUAGGAAGAAGCGUUGCUUGGGAAACAGACAUGAUUUGAGUGACACAGAAAAGAGGGGAAGUAGCAGAUCAUGAUCGGAGUGAACACUUGCCAAGGACCUGGCAGUUCCUGCCAACUUAUUUCCCACCAGUCACAUGAAGUCACCCAGAGAGAGAAAGAUGUAUUUGCCACACUUUUAAGGUUGUUUGCAUGACCAACUCUACUUGAGUAGAACGGGGCUAGCCAAGGUAGGGCUGGUUGUGUGAAGCUCCAGGAUUGCUCCCAGUCCUGCUGCUCCAUCCCCAGGUAGCCCUGAUUGCAAACCCAGGCUUACAGUGAGGUAGGAAGACAAGUACCCCAGUGCGGUUCACCUGGCUUCAUCACUUUGUUCUUUUAGAAGCCAGGUAAGGACUUUUUUGUUCACCCGGGUCUUUUAAAUUUUGGUUUUCAGUUUUGAUCUGAUUUUUAACUAAUUUUAAAAUGAGUUUUUGAGCUGCUUUGUAUUGUAUUUUUUAUUUUAUUUUCUUCUUUUUUUCUGUUAUGAUAUAAUGUGUUAUGUGUUUUAGUGU
This is a long non-coding RNA of Hemicordylus capensis (graceful crag lizard), 1274 nucleotides long. RefSeq lists it as uncharacterized. The record is from RefSeq and is a predicted model, not a curated record. The transcript has 3 exons. NCBI's taxonomy places the organism in Eukaryota, Metazoa, Chordata, Lepidosauria, Squamata, Cordylidae.